Molecule: transfer RNA, 110 nt
Organism: Penicillium brasilianum
Lineage: Eukaryota; Fungi; Ascomycota; Eurotiomycetes; Eurotiales; Aspergillaceae
Rfam family: tRNA
About the family: Transfer RNA (tRNA) molecules are approximately 80 nucleotides in length. Their secondary structure includes four short double-helical elements and three loops (D, anti-codon, and T loops).
Source: Rfam
GGGCUUGUGGCCUAGUUGGUUAAGGCGUGGCUCUUAUGCGAUGGUCUCUCUAUGGGACGUUGUCAUGAUAAUAUUAGCCGAAAUCGGGAGUUCGAGCCUCCCCUGGCCCA